GUGCUCACUUCAGCAUCACAUAUACUAAAAUUGGGACAAUACAGAGAAGAUUAGCAUGGCCCCUGGGCAAGGAUGACAUGCAAAUUCAUGAAACGUUCCAUUUAGUG
This is a small nuclear RNA of Otolemur garnettii (small-eared galago), 107 nucleotides long. NCBI's taxonomy places the organism in Eukaryota, Metazoa, Chordata, Mammalia, Primates, Galagidae. The record is from Ensembl.